This 1004-nucleotide long non-coding RNA is filed under the name Nicotiana tabacum (common tobacco). RNAcentral describes it as "long non-coding RNA (NTAB_LNC010502)". The record is from RNAcentral. Lineage: Eukaryota; Viridiplantae; Streptophyta; Magnoliopsida; Solanales; Solanaceae.
GCCUCCGCCUUGCCUCCCUCAAACUCUCUCAAUUUUUUUCCUUUUAUGUGAUACCAUAGCCGCUUUAUCCCCCAAAUCCUCUCUGAAUCUGGCUAUACGAUGGAAUCAUCUUAUUUGCUUGCUUUAUUUACACUAUACCCCGCUACUACUCACGCGUUCAUGGUGUUACUUAGUACUUGCCCUAUUGUGGCAAGUACUACCUUUCAAAAUCAAGCCUGAUUGAUUUCGAUUUUUGAAGAUUCAAAAGGUAUUUCGUUCAUAUAAACUCAAAAAGGGAUGAUCCUUGCCCUCCUUGUUUGAUUUGGAGCCGUUAGACCCUAACAAGAGGUUGAAAUUGAUUUGUUUCCCUUACUGACUCUAUCACUAAUUGCAUCCGAUUUUCUUUUCCUUAUUUGUGAUUGACUGACUUCUUUUCAUGAUUGUUAUUUAUUCAAACACUAUAUAGACCCCUCCCAAAUUUCCCCUUUGGAGAGACCUUAAUCGCUGCUUUCUCUUUCACUCACUUGUUCGAUUGUCCUCUAGUUCUCUGAAAUUAUUGUAUUUUUGACCGGUUGAAAGAUAAGGCCACAUCGAUUGAUUCAUUAACCUCCUCCGGUGCAAGCAUUGCUGGGAGCUCUCUCGAGGCUCUUGUGAACUCUGAAGCACCAGAUUUGAGGUUCUCACUGUUCUCUUUCGACUAUUUCUAUUUGAGCCAUUGCUAAAGCUCUAAUCUUUCUCAUCUCUUUGAUCGUUUACCUUGAAAUUUGUUAGGGUUCUUGACUCUCAAAAUUUCUAUUCCAUUUCAACUUCUAUGUGUUCUGUGUGCCAGUAAAAUCUGAUCUUUUAUGAACAAGCAUGAUUUAGUAUCCCCUGCAAUUUGAACUCUAAUAUUGUGCUAUUGUUGUACGCUUUGAUGUAAUUCUAUUGUUCUUAUAUUGUUUUGCAGUUCUAUGCUUCUCUAGUAUCAAGUCUGCCUAAGUCAAAGACCUCUAAGAUAAGCCUCGACACAUAUAGUUUAUUCUCAC